GAGGGAGACAGCAGCGGGCAGGCAGCGCGUCACAUCAGGCGCCGUUUUGCAUCCAGAAAAUCUUGACGCGGGUCAAUAACCACAUUGACUGAUGCCGUGAUCGCACGAGCCACUUCCCGGUCACCGCUCUUCACGGAGACCGCAGAGGAGACAAGCUGGGACAAAUCAGUACAGACAAAGAUAAAUACACAUAUAUAUAAAUAUAAAUAUCCCAGUAUCAACAAAACCACACAUACUGCCAGAGGCAACGAGGGGACGUUGGUGCCGCGGACACCUGCGAGGCGAAGCUCUUCUUCUUCUUCUUUUUCUACGCUUGCAUCUGGAACAGUGAUGUGAAAAGUGCUCUGAGACUGAAGGCUCAGCUGGUUUGGAAAAGACCUCCAUCUGCAAAGGGACCGGUUCUCACACCAAGUACAGAGCAGCACGCAAUGAGGAAGAAAGAAAAGAGGUGCUUGUCCAAUCAGAGGUGCAGAUGGCCACAGAAGACAUGAAUACCAGCCAAUCUGGCACUAGGACGACUUCCACUUGCCAAAUCAUACAUAAAUCAAAUGUGACCCCGCUAAUUAAUCGACUU
Astatotilapia calliptera (eastern happy) is the source of this 574-nucleotide long non-coding RNA. The record is from Ensembl. NCBI's taxonomy places the organism in Eukaryota, Metazoa, Chordata, Actinopteri, Cichliformes, Cichlidae.